UACGAGGGGGGCAAGCGUUGUUCGGAAUUAUUGGGCGUAAAGGGUGCGUAGGCGGUUUUGUAAGUCUUGUGUGAAAUCUUCAGGCUCAACUUGAAGACUGCACGAGAAACUGCAGGGCUUGAGUGUGGGAGGAGGUGAGUGGAAUUCCUGGUGUAGCGGUGAAAUGCGCAGAUAUCAGGAGGAACACCAAUGGCGAAGGCAGCACUCUGGGACGGUACUGACGCUGAGACGCGAAAGCGUGGGGAGCAAACAGG
This 254-nucleotide ribosomal RNA is filed under the name uncultured bacterium. RNAcentral's name for it is "partial 16S ribosomal RNA". It matches the Rfam family "Bacterial small subunit ribosomal RNA", at positions 524 to 776 of the family's 1533-position model. The record is from RNAcentral.